This 243-nucleotide ribosomal RNA is filed under the name uncultured bacterium. RNAcentral's name for it is "partial 16S ribosomal RNA". It matches the Rfam family "Bacterial small subunit ribosomal RNA", at positions 524 to 765 of the family's 1533-position model. The record is from RNAcentral.
UACGUAGGGGGCAAGCGUUGUCCGGAAUCAUUGGGCGUAAAGAGCGUGUAGGUGGCUCGGUAAGUCCGCUGUGAAAGUCCAGGGCUCAACCCUGGAAAGCCGGUGGAAACUGUCGAGCUCGAGUCCGGAAGAGGCGAGUGGAAUUCCUGGUGUAGCGGUGAAAAUGCGCAGAUAUCAGGAGGAACACCAAUGGCGAAGGCAGCUCGCUGGGACGGUACUGACACUGAGACGCGAAAGCGUGGG